AGAGUUUGAUCCUGGCUCAGGACGAACGCUGGCGGCGUGCUUAACACAUGCAAGUCGAACGAUGAACCUGGAGCUUGCUCUGGGGGAUUAGUGGCGAACGGGUGAGUAACACGUGAGUAACCUGCCCUUGACUCUGGGAUAACCUCCGGAAACGGAAGCUAAUACCGGAUAUGACGUACGGAGGCAUCUCCUGUGCGUGGAAAGAAUUUCGGUCAAGGAUGGACUCGCGGCCUAUCAGGUAGUUGGUGAGGUAACGGCUCACCAAGCCUACGACGGGUAGCCGGCCUGAGAGGGUGACCGGCCACACUGGGACUGAGACACGGCCCAGACUCCUACGGGAGGCAGCAGUGGGGAAUCUUCACA
Molecule: ribosomal RNA, 363 nt
Filed under: Leifsonia sp. RX68
Lineage: Bacteria; Bacillati; Actinomycetota; Actinomycetes; Micrococcales; Microbacteriaceae
Description: bacterial SSU rRNA
Rfam family: Bacterial small subunit ribosomal RNA
Source: RNAcentral